GUACACUCCUACGGGAGGCAGCAGUGGGGAAUUUUGGACAAUGGGCGAAAGCCUGAUCCAGCAAUGCCGCGUGAGUGAAGAAGGCCUUCGGGUUGUAAAGCUCUUUUGUCAGGGAAGAAACGGUGAGAGCUAAUAUCUUUUGCUAAUGACGGUACCUGAAGAAUAAGCACCGGCUAACUACGUGCCAGCAGCCGCGGUAAUACGUAGGGUGCAAGCGUUAAUCGGAAUUACUGGGCGUAAAGCGUGCGCAGGCGGUUUUGUAAGUCUGAUGUGAAAUCCCCGGGCUCAACCUGGGAAUUGCAUUGGAGACUGCAAGGCUAGAAUCUGGCAGAGGGGGGUAGAAUUCCACGUGUAGCAGUGAAAUGCGUAGAUAUGUGGAGGAACACCGAUGGCGAAGGCAGCCCCCUGGGUCAAGAUUGACGCUCAUGCACGAAAGCGUGGGGAGCAAACAGGAUUAGAUACCCGAGUAGUCCC
RNAcentral lists this ribosomal RNA (474 nucleotides) under uncultured organism. Its description in RNAcentral is "partial 16S ribosomal RNA". It matches the Rfam family "Bacterial small subunit ribosomal RNA", at positions 331 to 797 of the family's 1533-position model. The record is from RNAcentral.